This 506-nucleotide ribosomal RNA is filed under the name uncultured bacterium. Its description in RNAcentral is "bacterial SSU rRNA". It matches the Rfam family "Bacterial small subunit ribosomal RNA", at positions 19 to 518 of the family's 1533-position model. The record is from RNAcentral.
CUGGCUCAGGAUGAACGCUGGCGGCGUGCCUAAUACAUGCAAGUCGAACGAGGUAGCAAUACCGAGUGGCGAACGGGUGAGUAACACGUAGGUAACCUGCCCUUAAGCUUGGGAUACCCAGAGGAAACUUUGGCUAAUACCGGAUAACAACAGAGAAGGCAUCUUCUUUGCUUGAAAGGCCCCUUCAAGGGUCACUUAAGGAUGGACCUGCGGCGCAUUAGCUAGUUGGUGAGAUAACAGCCCACCAAGGCGAGGAUGCGUAGCCGAACUGAGAGGUUGAUCGGCCACAUUGGAACUGAGACACGGUCCAAACUCCUACGGGAGGCAGCAGUAAGGAGUUUUCGGCAAUGGGGGAAACCCUGACCGAGCAACGCCGCGUGAGCGAUGACGGCCCUAUGGGUUGUUAAAAAGCUCUGUUGUAAGCCAUGAAUGAUAGCUUGAGGAAAUGCAAGCUAUUUGACGACAGCUUACCAGAAAGCCACGGCUAACUACGUGCCAGCAGCUGC